AAUCAAAAUUGCCUUUCUUUUUCUGUGUAGUCAGGAGAAGAAAUGUGCAGAACAUGAAGUGUCUCGAGUGUAUAUAUAAUACGCUCGAGUCCUUUUAAAUGGACACUGUCUCUCUAUUUGUUACUGUGAAGUGUGACGCAUGAACGCGGGUAGAUCUAUGGAUCGCUUGCGCGUGUCGAGGGCUUCGGUGAGAACAUUAUAGAGGAAACCACGAUUUGCGGUAUGUUGUGGCUUCGGCUCGACACUCUUGCUUAUUGUGUGUGGAAUCUGUUUUUGCCUUGAGGCUAUUGAUGUGUGCAGGAUUAGUGUCUAUGGGUUUUGCCUUGUUUCUAGUAGUGUGUUGCUGCCAGUGACGGGAGGAGGUGCCUUCUGGCCUUUCUUCUUAUUUUUGGAGAGUGCAGUCUGAUUGGGAAACCAAUGCGGUGCUUUGUGCACUGUAUCUCAA
RNAcentral lists this unclassified non-coding RNA (445 nucleotides) under Salilagenidium thermophilum. RNAcentral's name for it is "ITS2". Lineage: Eukaryota; Oomycota; Peronosporomycetes; Pythiales; Lagenidiaceae. The record is from RNAcentral.